RNAcentral lists this ribosomal RNA (366 nucleotides) under uncultured organism. RNAcentral describes it as "bacterial SSU rRNA". It matches the Rfam family "Bacterial small subunit ribosomal RNA", at positions 526 to 896 of the family's 1533-position model. The record is from RNAcentral.
CGUAGGAUCCAAGCGUUGUCCGGAUUUACUGGGUGUAAAGGGUGCGCAGGCGGACUGGUUAGUCUGGGGUGAAAUCUCAUCGCUUAACGGUGAAACUGCCUUAGAUACUGCCAGUCUUGGAUAAGCGAGAGGUUCGUGGAAUUCCGAGUGUAGCAGUGAAAUGUGUAGAUAUUACAUGGAAUACCAAUUGCGAAGGCAGGUUACUACCAGUGGAUUGACGCUGAUGGACGAAAGCGUGGGUAGCGAACAGGAUUAGAUACCCUGGUAGUCCACGCCGUAAACGAUGGAUACUAGCUGUUGGGGGCAACUUCAGUGGCUAAGCGAAAGUGAUAAGUAUCCCACCUGGGGAGUACGUUCGCAAGAAUG